Molecule: ribosomal RNA, 590 nt
Filed under: uncultured bacterium
Lineage: Bacteria
Description: partial 16S ribosomal RNA
Rfam family: Bacterial small subunit ribosomal RNA
Source: RNAcentral
UGGGGAAUUUUGGACAAUGGGCGAAAGCCUGAUCCAGCAAUGCCGCGUGUGUGAAGAAGGCCUUCGGGUUGUAAAGCACUUUUGUCCGGAAAGAAAUCCUUGGCUCUAAUACAGUCGGGGGAUGACGGUACCGGAAGAAUAAGCACCGGCUGACUACGUGCCAGCAGCCGCGGUAAUACGUAGGGUGCAAGCGUUAAUCGGAAUUACUGGGCGUAAAGCGUGCGCAGGCGGUUUGCUAAGACCGAUGUGAAAUCCCCGGGCUCAACCUGGGAACUGCAUUGGUGACUGGCAGGCUAGAGUAUGGCAGAGGGGGGUAGAAUUCCACGUGUAGCAGUGAAAUGCGUAGAGAUGUGGAGGAAUACCGAUGGCGAAGGCAGCCCCCUGGGCCAAUACUGACGCUCAUGCACGAAAAGCGUGGGGGAGCAAAACAGGAUUAGAUACCCCUGGUAGUCCACGCCCUAAAACGAUGUCAACUAGUUGUUGGGGAUUCAUUUCCUUAGUAACGUAGCUAACGCGUGAAGUUGACCGCCUGGGGAGUACGGUCGCAAGAUUAAAACUCAAAUGAAUUGACGGGGUCAUAGCUGUUUCCU